RNAcentral lists this ribosomal RNA (2588 nucleotides) under human oral metagenome. RNAcentral describes it as "bacterial LSU rRNA". It matches the Rfam family "Bacterial large subunit ribosomal RNA", at positions 14 to 2532 of the family's 2925-position model. The record is from RNAcentral.
AGGGUGUAGGGCGGAUGCCUUGGCACUAGGAGCCGAUGAAAGACGUGAUAAGCUGCGAUAAGCUUCGGGGAGUGGCACAUACACUUUGAUCCGGAGAUUUCUGAAUGAGGAAACUCACUUGGAGUAAUGUCCAAGUAUCCAUAGGUGAAUACAUAGCCUAUGGAGGGGAACUCAGGGAACUGAAACAUCUAAGUACCUGAAGGAAGAGAAAGAAAUUCGAUUCCGCUAGUAGCGGCGAGCGAACGCGGAAGAGCCCAAACCAAGUCAGUUUACUGAUUUGGGGUUGCGGACAUAUCUUAAGGAAAGGUUAUUGCGAGUAGAAUAGGUCUGGAAAGACCAACCACAGAGGGUAAAAGUCCCGUAUACAAAGCCAAGAAAGUUCUUGAUAUGAUCCAGAGUACCACGAGACACGUGAAACCUUGUGGGAAGCAGGGGGGACCACCCCCCAAGGCUAAAUACUACCUAGUGACCGAUAGCGAAUAGUACCGUGAGGGAAAGGUGAAAAGAACCCCGGGAGGGGAGUGAAAUAGAACCUGAAACCCUACACUUACAAGCUGUGGGAGCGCAUUAUUCGCGUGACCGCGUACUUUUUGUAGAACGGGCCAACGAGUUACGUUAUGUGGCAAGGUUAAGCACUUAAGGUGUGGAGCCGAAGCGAAAGCGAGUCUUAACUGGGCGCCAUAGUCACAUGACGUAGACCCGAAACCGGGCGACCUACCCAUGAGCAGGAUGAAGCGAAAGUAAAAUUUCGUGGAGGUCCGAACCCACGUACGUUGAAAAGUGCGGGGAUGACUUGUGGGUAGCGGUGAAAUUCCAAUCGAGCUCGGAGAUAGCUGGUUCUCCCCGAAAUAGCUUUAGGGCUAGCCUUGAAAUUUAGAGAUGUGGAGGUAGAGCACUGAAUGUCCUAGGGGGUAUUGCACUUACCGAAGACUAUCAAACUCCGAAUGCCAUUAUCUUUUGUUCAGGAGUCAGACUAUGGGUGAUAAGGUUCAUAGUCGAAAGGGAAAGAGCCCAGACCGUCAGCUAAGGUCCCUAAAUGUAUGUUAAGUGGUAAAGGAUGUGGGAUUGCACAGACAACCAGGAUGUUGGCUUAGAAGCAGCCACUCAUUUAAAGAGUGCGUAAUAGCUCACUGGUCGAGUGAUCCUGCGCCGAAGAUUUCCGGGGCUAAAACAUACUACCGAAGCUACGGCAUCAUAUGAUGAUGGGUAGGGGAGCUUCCCAUGCAGGCUGAAGCGAUACCGUAAGGAGUCGUGGACAGUAUGGGAGAGAGAAUGUUGGCAUGAGUAGCGAGAUGAGGGUGAGAAUCCCUCAGGCCGUAAACCCAAGGUUUCCAGGGGAAGGUUCGUCCUCCCUGGGUUAGUCGGGACCUAAGCUCAGGCCGAAAGGCGUAGGCGAUGGACAACAGGUUGAGAUUCCUGUACUACCGAUAAUCGUUUGAGAGAAGGGAUGACACAGUAGGAUAAGCUGAGCACACUGUUGGUUAUGUGUGUCUAAGCGUUGAGGCAGACUAGAUAGGCAAAUCCGUUUAGUUAAUGCUGGAGCGCGAUGGGGAGCGAAACUAAGUAGCGAAGCAGCUGAUUUCACACUGUCGAGAAAAGUCUCUAUCGAGAUUAAAGGUACCCGUACCGCAAACCGACACAGGUGGGUGAGGAGAGUAUCCUAAGGCCAGCGAGAGAACUGUUGUUAAGGAACUCGGCAAAAUGACCCCGUAACUUAGGGAUAAGGGGUGCCCCAGCAAUGGGGCCGCAGAGAAUUGGCCCAAGCGACUGUUUACCAAAAACAUAGGUUUCUGCUAAGUCGCAAGACGAUGUAUAGGAGCUGACGCCUGCCCGGUGCUGGAAGGUUAAGGGGAUCUGUUAGAGCAAUCGAAGCAGUGAUCUUAAGCCCCAGUAAACGGCGGCCGUAACUAUAACGGUCCUAAGGUAGCGAAAUUCCUUGUCGGGUAAGUUCCGACCCGCACGAAAGGCGUAACGAUUUGGGACGGCGGCCGUAACUAUAACGGUCCUAAGGUAGCGAAAUUCCUUGUCGGGUAAGUUCCGACCCGCACGAAAGGCGUAACGAUUUGGGCACUGUCUCAACAACAGACUCGGUGAAAUUGUAAUCCCGGUGAAGAUGCCGGGUACCUGCGACAGGACGGAAAGACCCCAUGGAGCUUUACUGUAGCUUGACAUUGGGUUUCGAUACUACAUGUACAGGAUAGGUGGGAGACUAUGAAAUCAGGGCGUCAGUUUUGAUGGAGUCAUCCUUGGGAUACCACCCUUGUAGUAUUGGGACUCUAACCAUAGGCCAUGAAUCUGGUCUUGGGACACUGUCUGGUGGGCAGUUUGACUGGGGCGGUCGCCUCCCAAAAGGUAACGGAGGCGCUCAAAGGUUCCCUCAGUACGGUCGGAAAUCGUACGAAGAGUGUAAAGGCAAAAGGGAGCUUGAUUGCAAGACAUACAGGUCGAGCAAGGUAGAAAUACGGACUUAGUGAUCCGGUGGUUCUGAGUGGAAGGGCCAUCGCUCAACGGAUAAAAGCUACCCUGGGGAUAACAGGCUUAUCUCCCCCAAGAGUCCACAUCGACGGGGAGGUUUGGCACCUCGAUGU